CACUACGUAGCUCAGUUGGCAGAGCAUUGGGCUAGUAUUCCAAAGGUCGUAGGUUCGAUUCCCACCGUGGCCA
RNAcentral lists this transfer RNA (73 nucleotides) under Paramuricea clavata. It matches the Rfam family "tRNA". Rfam says of the family: Transfer RNA (tRNA) molecules are approximately 80 nucleotides in length. Lineage: Eukaryota; Metazoa; Cnidaria; Anthozoa; Malacalcyonacea; Plexauridae. The record is from Rfam by way of RNAcentral.